This is a long non-coding RNA of Humulus lupulus (European hop), 642 nucleotides long. RefSeq lists it as uncharacterized. The transcript is spliced from 3 exons. NCBI's taxonomy places the organism in Eukaryota, Viridiplantae, Streptophyta, Magnoliopsida, Rosales, Cannabaceae. The record is from RefSeq and is a predicted model, not a curated record.
AAUUAAUGGCGCCUUUACUUUUCAUUUUUUUUAUUAUUUUACACAACACUCUCAUUCUGAAUAUGGGUUCUCUCUAAACGCCUAAAUCCCUUCAUUCUCACCAUUCAUUUCAUCGAUUCUCUCUAGCCUCCACGAGAGAGUGCUCAAACCACACGGCGUCGUUCUCCUCCACCGGCGGUCAGAUUGGUCUACUCCAACAUCACGAAGUCGCUCUCCACCCCAUCGGCUCGACUUAGCAAACAUCAAAGGUGACGGCGCCUGGCGGAGGCAGAGGCAAAGGCGAGGUCACGGGUUCGACGAUGCGUGGGUCUUCUUCUCCUCAGCACACGACGGAGGCGAGAUCUGGCUACACUUUCCUAAUUGCAAAUGCUGCAAGGGUGAGAGCCUUCUUUGGAUGCCCAGUUGAUGAACGCAAGGACUUUCUGCUGCAGAUGAUGUAUAGUCCUCAGGACUGUUGAGGUACUUUGUAAAAUUGCAGAUAAGUGAGUCUAGGCUUCAAAAGUGAUGUUAAUUUAACAUACCAUAGUUGUAGCAAGAAUAAAAAUAAUAAUAAUUCAGUGUAACAAACAUUUAUAGUUUUUUCAGAUGACUGUGUUCGGUUGUUUUGAUUAUCAAGUUAAUAGAUAGAAUCAUUUUCUAGUU